RNAcentral lists this long non-coding RNA (546 nucleotides) under Daphnia pulex (common water flea). RNAcentral's name for it is "uncharacterized LOC124199904, transcript variant X2". Lineage: Eukaryota; Metazoa; Arthropoda; Branchiopoda; Diplostraca; Daphniidae. The record is from RNAcentral.
CCAAAUCCGGCCAUUUUGUUCCUUGACGCAGCAGAAGUGGGAUGCGGAUGCCGGUCGUGACGUUUGGCAUGAUGAAAAUGCGAUUUCAAUACCAAUUUGUCAAAUCAUUAACUCGGACUUGAGUGCCUGUUAAUUUUGUCGAAAUGUCGUGCCUCGUGUGUCUUGCCGCCUGUACCCGUACGUCUCGUCCCAUGCAAAAGCAAAAGUCUAACAAUCCCGCUUCUUGGUGCAGCCAGAUGGUGAAAGGUGUAAUGAAGACAACUUCAACUGUUGUAUGCAGGAUGUGGUGCCAGUGUUAUCCAGAAGUAGCUGUGCUGGAACUGUUAUAACGAAGUAGCUGUGCCAGAAUCUUUCCAAGUUGCUGACUUCAAAAUUUUAACUGUUUUCAUAUGUGUGGUUUGCUUUGCAAGUGGUAUCCCGUGUUGCUGACUUUAAAUAUUUUUAUUCGUUUUUAUUUGUGGUUUUGCUCUGCCAGUGAGUUGCUGACUUGAAUUGGUUUCAUCUUUUGUCUGUUUACUUGUGCAGUAUACGAUUGUGGCAAUCUGA